This is a long non-coding RNA of Ostrea edulis (European flat oyster), 4677 nucleotides long. RefSeq lists it as uncharacterized. The record is from RefSeq and is a predicted model, not a curated record. Lineage: Eukaryota; Metazoa; Mollusca; Bivalvia; Ostreida; Ostreidae. The transcript is spliced from 4 exons.
UCCGCAGCGCAGGAAUGACCAAAACUAGCCUACUACGGUACCAUUUACAGAAAUUACCAAAAAAAAUGACAAAAAUUACCGAGAGAGGAGCUAAAAUGACCUCAGUAAUACAUGACAUCUACUAUCAUAUUCACAUUAAAAAUUUUGGUCCCUCCUUUGACGACUUCAAUAAUUUUUAAUUUCGGUCAUAUCUUUGGUAUUUUCUGUGAACGUUUGUAAUUUCGGACAUUAUAUGUAACAAUCCUACUAUUCAUUCCACAAUGAAGGCCAGUGGGCCUAGAUUUUUAAUUUGAUACAUGUAUAAACUUAACACUGCGCAAGUUACGUCACGGAAUGCAGUAUAGGGGAGGAGAAAAUAUUUGGCUGGACCAGGAGUCGAACCUAGGAUCCCUGCAUUACUAGUCAGGUGCUCUAACCACUGAGCUAUCCAGGUCGAUAUCCACGGUCCGUGUAGCCCUAACUACUAAAUUCCUCCCUUUAAUUUGUUUUUGCUGUCGAAGACACACGACCCAGAUUCAUUUCACCCCUGGCAGGACAAGAGUAGUCACGGCACCAACUGGUAAAAUCUUGCACAGAGGUCCCUAGGUUCAAUUCCCGAUCCAGCCACAAAUUUUCUCCGUGUAUGUCUAUCUGAGACUGAGUUGGAAAAUUACGGUAUCUUCAUAGUGACAAACUAAUGAAAAUAUUGAUCAAAUUCGACUGGUCAAGGACUGUUAAUAUAAAUAAAUUUGAAACAUUGGUCAUUGUAAUGAUUGGUUUCAUGUUAUACUAAGCUUGUGUUUCAAGACAAGGCUGUCUUUGUUGGUGAUGAUACUGAUGUAUAUAUUUAGAAACAAGUAAUGCUUUGAUUUUGAUUACAGGUGUGGUCUUUAAAAAAAUUAAUGCAUGGCAAGGUUGAUAGUGAGACUAAUAAAUUCUUUCAGCAGAAUUCAGCUAGACACAAAAAAAAAAAGACAAUCACUACAGCCUUCCAAGAAGAUGGACUGCCUCACAAUAGUUUCCUUGAGGACUGUCUUGAAAUAUCCAGAGUUUAAGAUUCAAGAAACGGACUCUAUCUGGAAAAGGAAAACAAUAUCAAAGCUCCUCUGUGAGAAGUUGGCCAAGGAAAGCAUUCAGAAGAAAGUGGAGAUUCAUUGUUUUUACCAGAUCCAGCAGAUCACAGAAAGCAUCUAGUAGGGGAGUUUCCAGGAUUAAGCCAGCCAGUAGAUGAGACUAUUAUAUCAAAAAUACAUUUACUUGUACACGAGGGCACACAAAGCGUUGAUGAAACAAAAAGACAUUUCCAUCUGUUUGUAAAGGAUACUAUUUCACCAGGGAACACCAUCUCAGAAUUUAACAGAUGCUUUUACCCCGCCAAUAAGGAUGUAAGAAAUCACAUUUACAGGGCACCGAGAUUUUGCCAGGUAGUUUAGAACUGUGUGCAUUGGUUUUGGAAGAAUUUGGGCUGUUUAGGCUAAAAUCCAUCAUGUAAGUUCAUCUUUGUGGUGCACAAAUUCCAUAUGGUCAUUUCAAAUAGUCAACAUUGCUUCUAUUUUCAAUCUGAAAUUCUACAUGUAUUUUGUUUGAGAGAUGAAAACAAUCCUCGAAACAUUAUCACCGUUAUCUUUAAUUUUCCAUCAUACUUGUGUCAAAGAGUUGAACUUUCUUUACCAGUAAUUUUAUAUUGACUUCGCAUUGUGUGAUAUAUAAAGUUUUAUGAUUUUAUUUUCUGUCUAAGAUAUUCAAUAUUUAAAGGAAAAAGAUAAUGGUAGGAGAUGGUAGGAUAAAUUCUAAUUAUUCAGAGAAACUUGAUAAAUACUGUGUUUGAGCUUAUAUACUCGAUAACACAAUAGAAGAAUGCAAUUUACUAGUUAAACUUUGAUAGGAUACUAAAUUUAGGAUGAGCCAAUAAGAUUAUGUCUUGUUUUUCAUGUUACAGGAUUGGACAGAAUAUGAACACACACAUCCAAUACUUCAAAGAUAUUAUGUUUGUGGAGGCAGAGAUUUUGAUUGCAUCCACUGUUUAGAAUACAUCCUUAAGGGAAGCAGACUGCCGCCUGUACCCAAUGAUAUAAUGAUUAAUCAUAACUAUAUCUGUUUUGUACCAAAUAGAAAGAGCAUUGAUUCAGGUCAUUUUCAAAUCCACUGGCAUACAUUGUACUAUACAUGCAACCUUUUCAAACUUUACAUUUAAGAUUUUAUAAAGGAAAUAUCUUAAUGUUUCACAUGUUUACCUUUCACUGUGCUAUGUAAUUCAUUAUACCUGCCAUUAUGCCAGUCUUCCUGAACAUAAUUUGUUUUCUGCAAUUUCAUUGGCCAAGAGGUUUAAUCCUGGGUUAUCAGAUUGAGCAUUUAUAUUUAGUAUCCCAUUGAUUUUGUCAGCCCUAUAUAAGGAGCUGACUCAGAUUUACUCACUCUUCUAGGUUAAAGAACUCUAAGGUUUGUACUUUUCACAUGAAUUUCGUGUUCGCCUCUUAUCUUUUACAUAGAGUAGGAAAUGAACAUAACAUUGAGUUAGGGAACUAUUUAGAUUUUACAUUAUAAUAUGUAAAUACCUUAGCAGAGUCAAUUUACUUGGUUCAGGGUAGUAUCAGAUAUUACUUUUUCAGAGUUUAAGUGUUUAGGCUAUCUCAAUGUUUCUAUAGUUAGCCUUGUCCUAUGUUACUUUUAGAUGUAUGGAAGCCUUUUAGUGUUAUAACACUAUAUUUAUUCCCCCAUUCAAAGAAGAGGGGCAUAUUGGUUUGCACCUGUUGGUCGGUCGAUAGACCACAUGUUGUCCGCUUAAUAUCUUAAGAACCAUUCACUUGAUCGUAAUAUAUUUCAUAUGUGGGUUGGUUAUGAAAAGAAGAGGACCCCAAUUGUUUUUCAGGUCAAAAUGUCAAGGGUCAAUCUACUCUGGACAUAGGAAGACACUGCCUGCUCAAUAUCUUGAGAACCCUUUGCUUGACAGACAUCAAACUUGGUACACUGGUACAUCUCAAGGAGUAGAUUUGAGGUCAUAUGGUCAAAAGUCAAGGGGUAAACUGGACAUAGUAAUAUAUUGUCUCUUAUGUUUUAAGAAUUAUUUGCUUGAUUGACACCAAACCUGGUACAGCAUAAGGAGUAGAUGACCCCUAUUGAUUUUUAGGUCACUUGGUCAAUCCACUCCUGACAUAGGAAGAUAUUGUUUGCUCAAUAUUUCGAAUUGAUGAUACUACUAUCAAUCAAAUUAUGCAUGUGUAUAACCCUUUUCAAUUUUGCACCAUGGAGGCUUAUAUGUUUUACAAACACCUCAUGUUUUAUAGUUUGUGAAAGCUUGUUAGGGUCAUAACUUUAGAUUUUCUUAUUAUGGUACUUGCCUGUCAGAGACUGGGUAUGGUGUUGUCUGUCCGGACCUUGUAAGAUGGGAUACAGACUGAACCGUAAGCUCUAGAAUCUUACAACUUGGUACAUUUGAUCACCAUAAAAGGAAGAUGCUUAUUGUUUUUUAAGGUCAAGGUUGUAGGUUCACUUAAUAGGAAAACCUUGUUUGAGAAAAUUACAGAUUCUUGAACUGAGUAUUUUGAGGAAACGUUACAUAGAAAGUACAUGAUUUGUCAAAUUUCUCCCAAUAUUCAACUGAGAACCUUAUUCUGCAGAGUAUUUGUAUGGGUAUGGAAAAUGUGUAUGUGGCUAUGAUUUUGAUUUUUGUUUAAUUUUUUGAUGUUGAAAAUUACAGGUUUAACCGAGUCAGUUUUUGAGGAAAUAUACAUGUAUUAAAUAAAUGACGGUUUGACCUUUUAACUCCUCUCACAGUUUUGAAGCUAGGGUCUUUGUAAAUAACUUCUUUGGUGUUUUAGAAUAUUUACAGAUUGUUGAUCAUGGUCAAUUUUGGGGAAAUAUUUUCCGCAGAGCUCUAGUUGUCUAUCUACCGGCCUCCUGUCACUUUUAAGUUUAGGAGCUUUUAUUCAUGGAAAGAAAGUAUGUGACAACCUGAUGAUGGCUGAUACUAUUUAAAGUCUUUUUAUACGCCCGUCUUAAGACGGGACAUAUUAUGGUAUAGCGUUCAUGUCCGUCCGUCUGUUAGCUUUUUCGUGUCCAACCCGUAACUUAAAUACUACAAGGCCUAGAAUCAUCAAACUUUGUCUGUAGAUACAUAUUGGGUAGAAGGUGUGUCGCACAUUAAAACCAGGUCACUGUGACUUUUCAUUAAGAAGAUAUCUGUCUGUCCGUCUGUUAGCUUUUUCGUGUCCGACCCGUAACUUAAAUACUACAAGGCCUAGAAUCAUCAAACUUUGUCUGUAGAUACAUCUUGGGUAGAAGGUGUGUCGCACAUUAAAACCAGGUAAAUGUGACUUUUCAUUAAGAAGAUAUGGCCAUAUAUGGCAAAAACUUGUCCGACUCAUAACUUGAAAACUUUUAGACCUAGAAUCACCAAAAUUGGUCAACUAAUGCAUCUUAGGUAGAAGGUGUGUCGCAUCCUACUUUAAGGUCACUGUGACAUUUAAUUAAGGUGAUAUAAAAAAAAUGUUUUAAUGGGUACAGUCUAUACUGUUAACAAUAUGUGACGGGCAUAUCAUGUGCCGUGGCGGUGCACUUUAUUCUAGAAAUGGCAUCAGAAAAACACCCUAUGUAACCUUUUCUGCUUGUACUCAUUUAUUUUUAUUGGAAAACUUAUUACUUGUUAUCAGCUACUCUAAAACAAUAUUGACUUGUGCUAUAAUAAAUUUGUAAACUUUA